RNAcentral lists this ribosomal RNA (192 nucleotides) under uncultured bacterium. RNAcentral's name for it is "partial 16S ribosomal RNA". It matches the Rfam family "Bacterial small subunit ribosomal RNA", at positions 328 to 540 of the family's 1533-position model. The record is from RNAcentral.
ACGCUCGACACCUACGGGAGGUAGCAGUGGGGAAUAUUGCACAAUGGGGGAAACCCUGAUGCAGCAACGCCGCGUGAGCGAAGAAGUAUUUCGGUAUGUAAAGCUCUAUCAGCAGGGAAGAAAGUGACGGUACCUGAGUAAGAAGCCCCGGCUAACUACGUGCCAGNCGCGAUACUGNGCGGCGNGNGAGNG